GGAUCAGGGCACCCAGACGCGCAGCAAUAGCAGCAGUGCUUCAGCCAAAGCCGAUGCAGAGCACUGUGAGUGAGGACUCCUGUUCUUUGAGCUCCUGGAUUGCUUUAUAUGGAUGAAACACCCUCUCUGGAAAGAGUUACGCUUCUGAGUUCCUCACACUCCAGUCCAGUAGGUGGCAGAAAUGCACAUCAUGUUGGUUUACCAACCACCGUAAAAUGGAAAAGCAGGUGUACUUCAACACAGGUCAGCAAGGUGAAUAUCCAGGAACAGGACUGAGCAUCCUUGCUGUUUUUACAGGAACAGCUCCCACAAAAAACCUGAAGAUAAGUGUUUUGAUCAGUGAUGGUUUAUGGAUGAAAUUUAACAGCUUUUAAGCUUACAAGCGCAGGUCAUUCAGGAUUAGGCCACAUCAUCCAGGAUAUUUCUUUGUUCAUUUGUGCCAGGCAUCACCUAAUGCUGACCUUUCAAAAGAGGAAGCCCAUUUAGUGAAAGCUCACACAAUGUCGGGAAAGUGAAAGUUUCGGUUGUGCAAAAAGAAGAAGUUUACUGGCCUCUUACUGGAAAAGACCCCCUAACUCCACCUAGACUUCAGUUCCACAUAUUUGGCAAACAAUAGAAAGCCUCAGCAAGCUGUGUUUACACCACCAGAAGGGAAAUAAGAGGCGAGGAACUCAGCAGAUCCUUCAAAAAAUCUUCUCUUCACAAAGAAAAUAACAGCACAUGUAUUUGGAAGAACAUGACGAUCCAUUGGCUGGGAUCUCUGUGGUGGAAUGCUGCUGGGACCCCCUUCUAACCUCCCCC
Cyprinus carpio carpio is the source of this 801-nucleotide long non-coding RNA. NCBI's taxonomy places the organism in Eukaryota, Metazoa, Chordata, Actinopteri, Cypriniformes, Cyprinidae. The record is from Ensembl.